AACAAGGCGUACCUGCGGACCUGCGGAAGGAUCAUUACAGAGUUGCAAAACUCCCUAAACCAUUGUGAACGUUACCUAAACCGUUGCUUCGGCGGGCGGCCCGGGUCCUUCCCGGCGCCCAUCGGCCCUCGCGGGCGCCCGCCGGAGGUAAACCAAACUAUUGCAUUGUAUGGCCUCUCUGAGUCUUCUGUACUGAAUAAGUCAAAACUUUCAGCAAUGGAUCUCAGAUCGGAAGAGCAC
This 240-nucleotide unclassified non-coding RNA is filed under the name soil metagenome. RNAcentral's name for it is "partial contains 5.8S ribosomal RNA, internal transcribed spacer 2, and large subunit ribosomal RNA". The record is from RNAcentral.